RNAcentral lists this ribosomal RNA (606 nucleotides) under uncultured bacterium. RNAcentral's name for it is "bacterial SSU rRNA". It matches the Rfam family "Bacterial small subunit ribosomal RNA", at positions 897 to 1502 of the family's 1533-position model. The record is from RNAcentral.
AAACUCAAAGGAAUUGACGGGGACCCGCACAAGCAGCGGAGCAUGUGGUUUAAUUCGAAGCAACGCGAAGAACCUUACCAAAUCUUGACAUCCUUUUGACCAUCAUUUAAUCAUGAUCUCUCUUCGGAGCAGAAGUGACAGGUGGUGCAUGGUUGUCGUCAGCUCGUGUCGUGAGAUGUUGGGUUAAGUCCCGCAACGAGCGCAACCCUUGUCUUUAGUUGUCAUCAGGUAAUGCUGGACCCUCUAAAGAGACUGCCGGUGAUAAACCGGAGGAAGGUGGGGAUGACGUCAAAUCAUCAUGCCCCUUAUGAUUUGGGCUACACACGUGCUACAAUGGUCGGUACAACAGGCAGCGAAAGGGUAACCUGGAGCGAAUCCUCUAAAGCCGAUCUCAGUUCGGAUUGUGGGCUGCAACUUGCCCACAUGAAGUUGGAGUUGCUAGUAAUCGUGAAUCAGAAUGUCGCGGUGAAUGCAUUCCCGGGUCUUGUACACACCGCCCGUCACACCAUGGAAGUUGGGGGCGCCCGAAGCCAGUGAUCCAACCGCAAGGAGGAAGCUGUCGAAGGUGAAACCAAUGACUAGGGUGAAGUCGUAACAAGGUAACCG